RNAcentral lists this RNase P RNA (314 nucleotides) under Synergistaceae bacterium. Its description in RNAcentral is "RNase P RNA component class A". It matches the Rfam family "Bacterial RNase P class A". Rfam says of the family: Ribonuclease P (RNase P) is a ubiquitous endoribonuclease, found in archaea, bacteria and eukarya as well as chloroplasts and mitochondria. The record is from RNAcentral. Lineage: Bacteria; Thermotogati; Synergistota; Synergistia; Synergistales; Synergistaceae.
GAAGUGUUUCAUCCAGUCGCUGUAGGCCUUGCGCCUAUGGAGGAAAGUCCGGGCUCCGCAGGGCAGGGUGCAGGAGAAAUUCCUGUGGGUGCGAACCUAAGGAAAGCGCCACAGAAAAUAUACCGCCGGUCCGCCGGCAAGGGUGAAAAGGCGAGGCAAGAGCUCACCGGACGCGCGGCGACGCGCGUGCCUGGCAAGCCCCACCCGGAGCAAGAUCGAAUAGGGGAGGACGAGGCGGCCCGCUGACUCCCGGGUACGAUCGCUUAGAUAAAUGACUGGGCACGACAGAACCCGGCUUACGAAACGCUUCCCAA